This 194-nucleotide ribosomal RNA is filed under the name uncultured Methylomirabilota bacterium. Its description in RNAcentral is "uncultured candidate division NC10 bacterium partial 16S ribosomal RNA". It matches the Rfam family "Bacterial small subunit ribosomal RNA", at positions 977 to 1175 of the family's 1533-position model. The record is from RNAcentral. Lineage: Bacteria; Methylomirabilota (SeqCode).
GGGCUUGACAUCCCACGAACCUGGAGACAGGUGAAGUCCUUCGGGACGUGGAGACAGGUGGUGCAUGGUUGUCGUCAGCUCGUGUCGUGAGAUGUUGGGUUAAGUCCCGCAACGAGCGCAACCCUUGCUAUUAGUUGCUAACAUUUUGGAUGAGCACUCUAAUGGGACUGCCCGCGUCAAGCUGGAGGAAGGCG